GGUGCGGGGCUACACAUGCAGUCGUACAGGGCAACCGAUAAGCUUGCUGCUUUGCUGACGAGUGGGGGAGGGAGAGUAAUGUCUGGGAAACUGCCUGAUGGAGGGGGAUAAUUACUGGAAACGGUAGCUAAUACCGCAUAACGUCGCAAGACCAAAGAGGGGGACCUUCGGGCCUCUUGCCAUCGGAUGUGCCCAGAUGGGAUUAGCUAGUAGGUGGGGUAACGGCUCACCUAGGCGACGAUCCCUAGCUGGUCUGAGAGGAUGACCAGCCACACUGGAACUGAGACACGGUCCAGACUCCUACGGGAGGCAGCAGUGGGGAAUAUUGCACAAUGGGCGCAAGCCUGAUGCAGCCAUGCCGCGUGUAUGAAGAAGGCCUUCGGGUUGUAAAGUACUUUCAGCGGGGAGGAAGGGAGUAAAGUUAAUACCUUUGCUCAUUGACGUUACCCGCAGAAGAAGCACCGGCUAACUCCGUGCCAGCAGCCGCGGUAAUACGGAGGGUGCAAGCGUUAAUCGGAAUUACUGGGCGUAAAGCGCACGCAGGCGGUUUGUUAAGUCAGAUGUGAAAUCCCCGGGCUCAACCUGGGAACUGCAUCUGAUACUGGCAAGCUUGAGUCUCGUAGAGGGGGGUAGAAUUCCAGGUGUAGCGGUGAAAUGCGUAGAGAUCUGGAGGAAUACCGGUGGCGAAGGCGGCCCCCUGGACGAAACUGACGCUCAUGUGCGAAAGCGUGGGGAGCAAACGGGAUUAAUACCCUGGUAGUCCACGCCGUAAACAUGUCGACUUGGAGGUUGGCCCUUGAGGCGUGGCUUCCGGAGCUAACGCGUUAAGUCGACCGCCUGGGGGAGUACGGCCGCAAGGUUAAACUCAAAUGAAUUGACGUGGACCCGCCACAGCGGGGGACUUGGGGCUUAAUUUCGAUGCAACGCGAAAACUUUACCUGAUCUUGACAUCAGGGAGCUUUCAAAAAGGAAUUGUGCCUCGGAACCCGGGAGAAAAGGGGUGCAUUGUUUGUUCUUCAUCCUUGUUGGGAAAGGAUUGGUUAGUACGCACGAGGCAUCCUUACAUUGGUUGA
This 1073-nucleotide ribosomal RNA is filed under the name Shigella sonnei. Its description in RNAcentral is "bacterial SSU rRNA". It matches the Rfam family "Bacterial small subunit ribosomal RNA", at positions 41 to 1118 of the family's 1533-position model. Lineage: Bacteria; Pseudomonadati; Pseudomonadota; Gammaproteobacteria; Enterobacterales; Enterobacteriaceae. The record is from RNAcentral.